RNAcentral lists this ribosomal RNA (506 nucleotides) under uncultured bacterium. RNAcentral's name for it is "bacterial SSU rRNA". It matches the Rfam family "Bacterial small subunit ribosomal RNA", at positions 28 to 529 of the family's 1533-position model. The record is from RNAcentral.
GAUGAACGCUAGCUACAGGCUUAACACAUGCAAGUCGAGGGGUAGCAGGGUAGCAAUACCGCUGACGACCGGCGCACGGGUGAGUAACACGUAUCCAACCUUCCCAUAACUCGGGGAUAGCCUUUCGAAAGAAAGAUUAAUACCCGAUGGUACUUAUAUAAGGCAUCUUAAAUAAGUUAAAGAUUUAUUGGUUAUGGAUGGGGAUGCGUUCCAUUAGAUAGUUGGUGAGGUAACGGCUCACCAAGUCUUCGAUGGAUAGGGGUUCUGAGAGGAAGGUCCCCCACAUUGGUACUGAGACACGGACCAAACUCCUACGGGAGGCAGCAGUGAGGAAUAUUGGUCAAUGGGCGAGAGCCUGAACCAGCCAAGUAGCGUGAAGGAUGAAGGUCCUAUGGAUUGUAAACUUCUUUUAUAGUAGAAUAAAGUGACCCACGUGUGGGUUUUGUAUGUAUACUAUGAAUAAGGAUCGGCUAACUCCGUCCAGCAGCCGGGUAAACAUACUCGUA